AUCAAAGAUAUGUUCAAAUUACCGAUUUCUGAAUAGUUAAAAGUUAGAUAUAAUGUUUUACAAAACCACAGAUAAUAUCAAUUAUCAAUAUCCUGUAUAGAAAUUAAGGUAUUGAUUAUUUAGUUGUUUUAUUUUUUUUUAUGUAUUUCCUACAAUGUACUAAAUCUUAUUUUAUGUAUUUCUAUACAAUGUACUAAAUCAAGUACUGAAUAAAUGAAUAAUCUCAUUAGUGAAAACUUUCUGAGAGUCUAAAUUGAGCCUUUACCAAUUGCAGAGACAUAUAAAACAAUUGUAUUAUAUGUCUCUGCCAAUUGUUAUAAUUGCGUUUGUGCUAAUAAAAUAUUGUCUUUUGUCUAUUGUCUACUACGGUUCUGGGAACAGUAUAUCAAUAUAUAUGUUCCUGUACGGUUGCAAUCUUUCUUGCAUUGCUAUCCUGCACUUUGAUUACUGUCCGAUAUAAUUUUGUGUGCAUUUUCGGUUAUAGUCAUAAUUCAAAUAGGUUCUGUAUUUGAAUAAUCUAACCGAUGUGGACGCAACAUAUAAUCGCGCGAGAUACGACUGCUGCUGUAAACAAAUUCAACCUUUACCAGUCAGUUCCACUGAAAAAAACAAAAAAAACAGAUGAUCCUUGAUUGUUUGGAAAAUAGGCACAGAGCAUGAUGUCCAUUGAAUCAUUAGAUAAAAAGUUAAAGAUGAUUUACACAUUAGUGGAAUAUUUGGAAACCAGUGGAAAUAUGAGGCUGAUCAAACAACAGUGUGCAAGAUAUUCACA
This is a long non-coding RNA of Mytilus californianus (California mussel), 772 nucleotides long. RefSeq lists it as uncharacterized. Lineage: Eukaryota; Metazoa; Mollusca; Bivalvia; Mytilida; Mytilidae. The transcript is spliced from 3 exons. The record is from RefSeq and is a predicted model, not a curated record.